RNAcentral lists this ribosomal RNA (460 nucleotides) under uncultured bacterium. RNAcentral describes it as "partial 16S ribosomal RNA". It matches the Rfam family "Bacterial small subunit ribosomal RNA", at positions 338 to 795 of the family's 1533-position model. The record is from RNAcentral.
CCUACGGGAGGCAGCAGUGAGGAAUAUUGGUCAAUGGCCGGAAGCCUGAACCAGCCAUGCCGCGUGCAGGAUGACGGCCCUAUGAGUUGUAAACUGCUUUUGUACGAGGGUAAACCCCGAAACGUGUAUCGGGUUGAAAGUAUCGUACGAAUAAGGAUCGGCUAACUCCGUGCCAGCAGCCGCGGUAAUACGGAGGAUCCGAGCGUUAUCCGGAUUUUUUGGGUUUAAAGGGUGCGUAGGCGGUUUGAUAAGUUAGAGGUGAAAUGUCGGGGCUCAACCCCGAAACUGCCUCUAAUACUGUUGGACUAGAGAAUAGUUGCGGUAGGCGGAAUGUAUGGUGUAGCGGUGAAAUGCUUAGAGAUCAUACAGAACACCGAUUGCGAAGGCAGCUUACCAAACUAUAUCUGACGUUGAGGCACGAAAGCGUGGGUAGCAAACAGGAUUAGAUACCCCAGUAGUC